Long non-coding RNA from Cydia strobilella, 238 nucleotides. RefSeq lists it as uncharacterized. The transcript has 2 exons. Lineage: Eukaryota; Metazoa; Arthropoda; Insecta; Lepidoptera; Tortricidae. The record is from RefSeq and is a predicted model, not a curated record.
GUUGCCGCUAUAACAACAAAUACUAAAAACAGAAUAAUAUAAAUAUUUAAGUGGGGCUCCCAUACAACAAACGUGAUUUUUUUGCGUUUUUUAGGGUUCCGUAGUCAACUAGGAACCCUUGUAGUUUCGCCAUGCCCGUCUGUCCGUCCGUUCUCGGCUUUGCUCCGUGAUCGUUAGUGCUAGAAAGCUGCAAUUUGGCAUGGAUACAUAAAUCGUACAUGGCGACAGAACAGUAAAA